This is a long non-coding RNA of Corapipo altera (White-ruffed manakin), 1549 nucleotides long. RefSeq lists it as uncharacterized. The record is from RefSeq and is a predicted model, not a curated record. NCBI's taxonomy places the organism in Eukaryota, Metazoa, Chordata, Aves, Passeriformes, Pipridae. The transcript is spliced from 3 exons.
CUGGGCAAGUGCUUCGCUGUGAUGCCAUAGUUGAUCUAAUUCAUGGCAUCCAAAUUGUGUCCACAACGAGAGAGCUCUACCUUGAGGAUUCCCCCCUGCAGCUCAAAAUUCUGGCUUUGGAUUCGGAAGUGCCAGAUUAACCCAAAUUGGAAGCCAACUUCCCAGAAUCUGAUCUGAUCACUCUCAGUAUGCUUCAUUUGUUUAAACUGCCAGGACAGCCAAACCUUUGGGGAGGCACCUUCUUCACAGCUUCAAAUGUGUUUCACUGAAGGCCAGAGGCACAUCAUCAGUCAUCACAGAUUGCUUUUACCCCACUGGAAAUGCUCCUCUCAUUUGGUGUGAUGCCAGUUCCUACUGAGAGCUCCUCAAAGCCUCCCAGCAUGUUUAGGACUCGGGCAACCGAGUGCCAGUGGAAAGGAAUGAGGAGUCUAGAGCAGGACUCAGGACAGUAUUUCCAAAAUGCCAGCAAUUUACUGCUCCAAGAUGCAAGCUGUUGUGAACUGCAGGCCAUCAUCCUCUUCAUGGACACUCAACUCACAAACCUGCAUCAAUUCACAGCAAAAGGUGCAAUUUAACUCUGCCCAUUUGGAGGGUGUUCAAGGAUAAGGACAUGCAGAAAUGUGCUGAGGGGCAGAGCAGCUGGAGUCACAAAGAUGCACUUUUAAGAGAAUUUGGAAAGUUAAUAAAAUAUUUAGAUCCUUACAGAUAGCUUUUUGCACUGAAGGAGUACCUUAUGCCUUACUGAAUUGUUUUUAAUUAAAUUAUGUCCUCUAGGAUUAAGAAAAGAGUGUAGUUAAGUGAACGAGAUAUUGCUUAACAUUUGAAUUCUGAAGCAAAUGUUGUUUCUUGCAAAUAUAGUUCUUGCACACACACAUGGUCCUGCAAUAUAAUUCCUCUGUUUUGUUCAUUGUACAAGGAAAAUGGGGCAUAAGAUGGAAGAAAAAGACCUUUAUGGAGCUUUCAGCAUCAUUUUUUCAGUGGGAUAGAAUUACAGUCUCUAAAGCUAAGCAGGUGCAAGGUUAGACCCGAAAGAAAACUCCAGGAAGGUCAAACAGAAUGUGUUCUGAACUCACAAAAACAUCUUAUUGCAAGGCUAUAGAACAGAUAGUGUAGAGUGGGCUUGGGUUUAUUUUUUAAUUUGGGGGUUAAAUUUAAAAAAUAGAGCUGUUCAUUAUUUAUACUGAAACAUCUCAUUUGUCUUCUGCUUUUCACCAAGUGCUUUCCAAUUCAGAAAGGGUCAUUUGAUUGUAAUUAAGCCAAAUGUUAGUGAAUAAUUCACUACCUUUUUCCUUCAUCCCAUCCUAUUCAUUAGUUGGAGCCAAAAGGCUCCAACUUUCAAAUAUAACAAAUCUUUAGUCAAUAAUUAGUAAUAAUUAAAGACUCAAAGCUGUUACAGCAGCCAGUUAUGAACAAAGAGGAGUCUGUUUGUGAAAUGAGAACUAAUAAGGGAAAAAUUAAUUUCUCGUCAACUUAAAUAUUUCCAAAAACCUAGGCCUUCAUACAAUGUCCUCCUGGGAAUCCCUGUAAUUGCAUUUGAUCAACACAGAGC